RNAcentral lists this transfer RNA (69 nucleotides) under Bos taurus (domestic cattle). It matches the Rfam family "tRNA". From Rfam's summary of the family: Transfer RNA (tRNA) molecules are approximately 80 nucleotides in length. Their secondary structure includes four short double-helical elements and three loops (D, anti-codon, and T loops). Further hydrogen bonds mediate the characteristic L-shaped molecular structure. tRNAs have two regions of fundamental functional importance: the anti-codon, which is responsible for specific mRNA codon recognition, and the 3' end, to which the tRNAs corresponding amino acid is attached (by aminoacyl-tRNA synthetases). tRNAs cope with the degeneracy of the genetic code in two manners: having more than one tRNA (with a specific anti-codon) for a particular amino acid; and 'wobble' base-pairing, i.e. permitting non-standard base-pairing at the 3rd anti-codon position. Lineage: Eukaryota; Metazoa; Chordata; Mammalia; Artiodactyla; Bovidae. The record is from Rfam by way of RNAcentral. RNAcentral also lists the same sequence under 1 other name.
CCUGGUGGCUCAGACAGUAAAGCGUCUGCCUGCAAAGCGGGCAACCCGGGUUCGAUUCCUGGGUCAGGA